CAGCCGCCGCGGUAACACCGGCGGCUCGAGUGGUGGCCACUUUUAUUGGGUCUAAAGCGUCCGUAGCCGGCUUGGCAAGUCCCCUGGGAAAUCUGGCGGCUUAACCGUCAGGCGUCCAGAGGAUACUGCCAGGCUUGGGACCGGGAGAGGUGAGAGGUACCUCAGGGGUAGGGGUGAAAUCUUGUGAUCCCUGAGGGACCACCAGUGGCGAAGGCGUCUCACUAGAACGGGUCCGACGGUCAGGGACGAAAGCUGGGGGCACGAACCGGAUUAGAUCCCCGGGUAGUCCCAGCCGUAAACGAUGCUCGCUAGGUGUCAGGCAUGGCAUGACUGUGCCUGGUGCCGAAGGGAAGCCGUGAAGCGAGCCACCUGGGAAGUACGGCCGCAAGGCUGAAACUUAAAGGAAUUGGCGGG
RNAcentral lists this ribosomal RNA (414 nucleotides) under uncultured microorganism. Its description in RNAcentral is "bacterial SSU rRNA". It matches the Rfam family "Archaeal small subunit ribosomal RNA", at positions 459 to 872 of the family's 1478-position model. The record is from RNAcentral.